GUUCAGCUUUUGCCAACUCUGCAUCAGCUCUUACGGAGGCCGACACAGCAUCGACCAGUGCCAACUUUUUUAGGGUGGCUCGAUGCCUUUUAUGUUUGGCUUUGAGUUCAUCAAUGCAGCCAUCUCUUUCUCAUCGAAGUCGAUGGAUAGAGUGCUUUUUGCUCUUGACCCGCAACUCAAGAGAUGAAAAAUUUUGAUGAGCCGACUCAAGUUCGACUCUAGAAGAUUGUAGAAUGGCGGUCAAGCGGGAGACUUCUUCUUGAA
RNAcentral lists this long non-coding RNA (264 nucleotides) under Elaeis guineensis (African oil palm). RNAcentral's name for it is "long non-coding RNA (EGUI_LNC028800)". The record is from RNAcentral. Lineage: Eukaryota; Viridiplantae; Streptophyta; Magnoliopsida; Arecales; Arecaceae.